UGAUAUUUCCAUUCCAUUGUAUUUUUUUUUGAAAGGAUUACUUAGCUAUUGCUCGCUGAUUUACUGCUUUUACACGGAGUUGGUGGAGAAAAGUGUUUUUUGAAAGUUUAGUCCUUGAUUGGUAGUGCAGAAGAAACGCCCAAGUCUUUUCGUGUUUGUAGUGCGGAUUUUGUUGGAGACCACGUAAAAGUCAGCAACUGGGCCAGAAAAUCUUAUCGAAGGACGCACAAGGAUGAUUGUGCUGGUACACGGCCCCUGCCGUUGGAUAGAAGCAAGCACAGAAGUCAGCACUUCCCUCAAGCCUAGUCUUCCCAUUCCCAGUAAAGAAAGUCAAUAAUGGGAAGUCAUUCAAUUGACACAGGAGCAGAACAGAUUGCUAUUUUACUGGCCGCCAGGGCAAGCGUAGAACUCCCCAUGAACACGAGGUGCCGUCUUUCUUGUCUUCUCAAAUUCUGCUGACGGAAAAUCGUCGUUUAAAAAUAGCGUCUACAUAUCUCAGGUCUGCCUUCAGCUCCAAUUCUGGUUAAAUUGUGGGGGCGUAGUUUUAGGUGAAUGACUGGAGUAUAAAAUGCAUUGGUGGAGAAAAUCCGCUUCAGCUUCCAAGAACAGUGGUCGUAAUAGUAAAUCGAAGGGUAGUUUGGGGGAAUUGUUAAGAAGUCGCAUAGAGAAACAGUGCAAGAGUAAUGGCUCUUCCAUGAAAGAGCAAGGGCAACCAAAUGGUCCGCAUCUAACCAGGACCAGAAAAUUGCGGCACGUUUCUGAUGAGGAAGUGGGAAACAAUUCUCCCAACAAUUGGGGUGGCUCUGGUAGAGCCGUCCCAUUGCCCCUUCCUUCACCCAAGCAGAGGAAGAUGGUGACCGGGGAGGAGGGGCCAGUGGAGGCCUGGGAUUUGCCGUCCAGUGAUGAGUCAGAGGAGAGCUUCCAGCGCCCUGGCACGCCGAGUUCGAAGGUUGGCCAGCUUAAUGCUGAGGCAAAGGCUUCACCCCAGGGGCUUUCCUUCAUUAACACAGACCAUAAGUUACCGGAACAUGCUUCUGCACGAUCAGUUCAAUUUGUUUUAGGAUCAGUGGGUCAAUCAUUGAAAGGGCAUAAGGGUGUUCAAAGGGAUAUGAGUAGCAAAUUGCACUUGAACUUGGGUGGUGUGGCUAAAAGUGCUCCUACAACUGUCUUUUCAAGCCCUGCCAUCAGCCCUCGACGUAUGAGCAGUGGUGACUUUUUGCUAUCAAAUAAUUACAAAACUACCAAAGAACAGGACCUUGGAAUUCCUUUAUCAAUUCCACCAUUGGGCCAAAAUUUGAUGGCUGAUAUGAUUAUGCAGCCUUUAGCAGAUAAAGUCCUUAUUAGCCCAGAUCGAUCUCCACUUCAGAGUCCAAGGAUGAGAAGUCCUCGUAUAAAAUCAAGAAUUCACAGUGGUGCAGUGUCUCCUUUACAUCCAAAUUUCUUAACAGGACCAUAUGAUGACAGUGCCAACGUUAGUGUACACAGAUUGCCCCUUCCACCUGGGAAUGCUAGUCCUGUUGGUGCUGCUCCAUCACCAAAUUCUCCAUCUCUAGCUGUCCAGCGCAGUUCUCUAAGAACCGAUGCAUCAAUUAAUCCAGGCCAAUGGAAAAAAGGAAAGCUUCUUGGUAGUGGCACGUUUGGUACUGUUUAUGUUGGUUUUAACAGAGAAACUGGGGAUAUGUGUGCCAUGAAAGAGGUGCCUUUGAUUCCUGAUGAUCCCAAGUCUUCUGAGAGUAUCAAGCAAUUGGAACAGGAAAUAAAUCUUCUUAGCCAGUUGAAACAUCCUAAUAUUGUGCAAUACUAUGGAAGUGAAACUUUAGAGGAUGCAUUCUACAUCUAUCUAGAAUAUGUUCCUGGAGGUUCAAUCUUCAAGAUUCUUAAAGAAUAUGGGCCACUGCCUGAAUCUGUAAUAAGGAUAUACACGCGCCAAAUUCUUUCUGGGCUGGCAUACUUGCACAGCAAGAACACUGUUCACAGGGAUAUAAAAGGUGCAAAUCUCCUUGCAGAUACAUCUGGGAAAAUAAAGCUUGCAGAUUUUGGUAUGGCCAAACAUAUAAAUGGUCCAGCAACUCCCCUCUCAUUAAAAGGAAGCCCAUAUUGGAUGGCCCCUGAGCUCAUGAUGCAAAAGAACACCGGACACGAUCUGGCUGUUGACAUUUGGAGUUUGGGCUGUACUGUCAUUGAGAUGGCUAUGGGCAAGCCUCCAUGGAGUGAAUAUGAAGGGGCAGCAGCAAUGUUCAAAGUGUUCAAGAGUGAAGUUCCAUCCAUACCAGAUACCUUAUCAGUGGAGGGAAAGGAUUUUAUUAGCUGUUGCUUAUGCAGAAACCCAGCAGAAAGACUAACAGCAUGUCAAUUACUUGAUCAUACAUUUGUGAGAGAUGCUAAUCAUCAGGAUUCUGACCCUCUAGCAUCUACAACAUCUUGCAUUAAGUCUCUGAAUUUAGUGCACAGUCCACGGGAGAAAAGUAUGAAUACUUCAGAGCAUGCCACUUUCCAUACAAGAAAUGGCAACCAACAUCAGUUGUCAAGUGAGCACAUUCACCCUCAAAUUGGAACAUCUACUCGCUCUUCUAAUCAGCAGCUUUCACCUCGUUCCACUCUGGAGGCAUUCAGCAGCUUAUCUCCACCACAUUCAAAUGUUUUGAAGAAUGAAGCCUUAUUUGGAAGUGUGGAAAAUGGAUAUUGGGCAAGUGCUACACAUGAAGGCCCUCUGAAAGUACGAAGUUCCCUUCAAGGAAGGCUUGGGGCUGUGGGGAUUGUAAACAUAGCAGAUCAGUCAGAGUACAGUACUGAUCACAAUUUGAGUUCUCCAGUAAUUCGCACACCUGAAGGAAGUCCUAAAAGAUGGGAUUACGGACAUGAUGAUAUAAUGCAUGUAAAUUUCAGUAGGAGACCUCAUGAAUUUGAAGAGGAUCAUGGUAAGAGGUUUGUGAGAGAAAUUGCUCCUCAGGGGCCUGUAAUGACAUUGGGAUAUCCCACCAUCCAUCCAUAGAGAUUUUCAACGGUUUAUCAUUCUGGCAACAGUGGUGCACAAAUUUCAACCAUAGCAGUAGAGUCGGAAUGCUUACGACUGUCUAGCCAAAAAGACAACCUGCUAAAGGUGAAGGAGAGAUGGAUGAUAUUGGAGAAGAUCGGGUUCUCCAAAGUAAAAAUACAAAGGCCUUGUUGCUUUUGAAACUCUCAGUGACAAAUGAAAUGUUGCCCAAAUUGUCAGGGUCAAAAGCUGCAUUAAAAGUCUGGAGCAGCUGGAAAGAAAAACAUCAAACUUCCACUAGCAAGCAGGCCCUAUGUAAAGUACGUAGGCAUGGUAUGGUAAAAAUGCAAUGGAGUUGAGGAUUGCCACUCAACUCGUUUCACAAGUUGCCAGUUUCUCUUUUGUAGAGAGGAGUUGGUCCACAUCAUCAUUCUAUCUUUCAAGAGAAUAUGCUUAACUCUUAAUGGGCAGAGAAGUUGGUGGCUGUCCAUGGUGCCUCACAAUUUCAAGAUUGAUAGACUCCUAAGUAUUGUUAGACUCCAGCUGCAAAUUGGAAUACUGAUCCUAAAGAUGCCACACAGAUUGACGAGGAGGAGGUACAUGAAGGAUUGGUUGGGGUAGCAUUAGAUGAGCCAUUCUUUCAUAUUGGAAAUGACCUAGAUUCAGGCUCAGACUUACGUAAUUAUACAGGAUUUCAGGACAAAGAUCAGAAACAGCAGUAGAUCUAGUUGCUAUGUUAUUUUUCUACAUUUUUGUCAUUUUGUAGUUGUAGCCUUUGGGCCUUUUGUUGUAAUAUAUGCACAUUGACAAUGAAAACAAUGAUAUUUUGUUAAUCUGUGUGUCGACUCUCAUUUGAAGUCUCAAUUCAACACUAAUGUUAUGUAAUAUGAUUCUAUAAUGAAUAUGAUGAAUGCAUUAUAAUAUGGAUAAUUUAAAUAAUUAAAUUUCCUAUAUUUUUAAACUUUUCCCUAUUUUUUAAUUACCAUUCCCUACUGCCCCUCCAAAUGGCUUGCCUUCAAAAUAUAUUAUUUCCAUUGAAUCUUUGUAGCAAGUUGAAUGUUGAUUAUUUCUCUUGGAGAGCAUUCAAAGGAGUCUCAACGAAAACUUCAGGGAAAGGACCACAUUUUUGCUAGACGAAGGCACCACCUAGUCAAUAACACCGAGAGGUCUCUGGUAGCCACCUUUAUAGGAAGCUUCUGAGAUGGCAAUUUGAAUUUCAUUGGAUUUGGUAAUUUUUGAU
RNA transcript from Cryptomeria japonica (Japanese cedar), 4214 nucleotides. It is a transcript of the gene named mitogen-activated protein kinase kinase kinase 5, with no coding region annotated. Lineage: Eukaryota; Viridiplantae; Streptophyta; Pinopsida; Cupressales; Cupressaceae. The transcript is spliced from 13 exons. The record is from RefSeq and is a predicted model, not a curated record.